GUGCUCAUUUCAGCAGCACAUACUUUAAAAAUUGGAAAAAUACGGAGAAAUUUACCAUCUCCCCUGUGCAAGAAUGACCUGUAAAUUUGUGAAAGAAUUUGGAGAAAAAUAUUU
RNAcentral lists this small nuclear RNA (114 nucleotides) under Suricata suricatta (meerkat). Lineage: Eukaryota; Metazoa; Chordata; Mammalia; Carnivora; Herpestidae. The record is from RNAcentral.